AAGUCGUAACAAGGUUUCCGUAGGUGAACCUGCGGAAGGAUCAUUAACACGACCCAUGAAUGGGACGCGCCAAACCUCAGCGUGAGACGCGCUCCCAUUCAUAACCAACACAAACCAACCUGUCUUGUUUCAUCUCGCCCUCAUAGUCUUCUAUGAGGUUCACAGCAUGAGAUCGCGUUUUGGGUGCCUCUGAGUGCCCAAUUCACUUGCCUUCGUUCUCGGUCCUGAUAGGACUUGGGGCGGCUGCCAAGGGUCUCAUCGCGCUUUUCUUUUUCAAUUCAACAAACCUUUCGAAUUCAGAACUGAAACGCUCUCAUUUUCGAGUCGUUCUCGCGAUCGACUCGCUUGUGGGACACAUUUGACCUUUAACCAGUCAAAUAAUCAAACACAAAUACAACUCUUAACAACGGAUAUCUCGGCUGAC
This 424-nucleotide unclassified non-coding RNA is filed under the name fungal sp. RNAcentral describes it as "partial internal transcribed spacer region". The stretch from base 1 to 46 matches the Rfam family "Eukaryotic small subunit ribosomal RNA", at positions 1786 to 1831 of the family's 1831-position model. Lineage: Eukaryota; Fungi. The record is from RNAcentral.